RNAcentral lists this ribosomal RNA (346 nucleotides) under Aeromonas salmonicida subsp. salmonicida. RNAcentral describes it as "bacterial SSU rRNA". It matches the Rfam family "Bacterial small subunit ribosomal RNA", at positions 1 to 342 of the family's 1533-position model. The record is from RNAcentral. Lineage: Bacteria; Pseudomonadati; Pseudomonadota; Gammaproteobacteria; Aeromonadales; Aeromonadaceae.
AAAUUGAAGAGUUUGAUCAUGGCUCAGAUUGAACGCUGGCGGCAGGCCUAACACAUGCAAGUCGAGCGGCAGCGGGAAAGUAGCUUGCUACUUUUGCCGGCGAGCGGCGGACGGGUGAGUAAUGCCUGGGGAUCUGCCCAGUCGAGGGGGAUAACAGUUGGAAACGACUGCUAAUACCGCAUACGCCUACGGGGGAAAGGAGGGGACCUUCGGGCCUUUCGCGAUUGGAUGAACCCAGGUGGGAUUAGCUAGUUGGUGGGGUAAUGGCUCACCAAGGCGACGAUCCCUAGCUGGUCUGAGAGGAUGAUCAGCCACACUGGAACUGAGACACGGUCCAGACUCCUAC